AACGAACGCUGGCGGCAUGCCUAACACAUGCAAGUCGAACGAGACCUUCGGGUCUAGUGGCGCACGGGUGCGUAACGCGUGGGAACCUGCCCUUAGGUUCGGAAUAACUCCCCGAAAGGGGUGCUAAUACCGGAUAAUGUCUUCGGACCAAAGAUUUAUCGCCUUUGGAUGGGCCCGCGUUGGAUUAGCUGGUUGGUAGGGUAAAAGCCUACCAAGGCGACGAUCCAUAGCUGGUCUGAGAGGAUGAUCAGCCACACUGGGACUGAGACACGGCCCAGACUCCUACGGGAGGCAGCAGUGGGGGAUAUUGGACAAUGGGCGAAAGCCUGAUCCAGCAAUGCCGCGUGAGUGAUGAAGGCCUUAGGGUUGUAAAGCUCUUUUACCCGGGAUGAUAAUGACAGUACCGGGAGAAUAAGCUCCGGCUAACUCCGUG
Molecule: ribosomal RNA, 433 nt
Filed under: uncultured bacterium
Lineage: Bacteria
Description: partial 16S ribosomal RNA
Rfam family: Bacterial small subunit ribosomal RNA
Source: RNAcentral